GCCACUGCCGGGGCUUACAUCGCCUCCCAGACGGUGAAGAAAGUGAUAGAGAUCAACCCGUACCUUCUGGGCACCAUGGCCGGGGGUGCAGCAGAUUGCAGCUUCUGGG
This is a microRNA precursor of Cavia aperea (Brazilian guinea pig), 109 nucleotides long. The record is from Ensembl. NCBI's taxonomy places the organism in Eukaryota, Metazoa, Chordata, Mammalia, Rodentia, Caviidae.